Molecule: non-coding RNA, 114 nt
Organism: Acanthosepion pharaonis
Lineage: Eukaryota; Metazoa; Mollusca; Cephalopoda; Sepiida; Sepiidae
Source: the annotation of a GenBank genome assembly
UUACGGCCAUAUCUCAUUGAAUCAUCGGAUCUCGUCCGAUCACCGAAGCUAAGCAACGUCGAGCCUGGUCAGCACCUAGAUUGCUGACUUCUUGGAUAUACCAGGUGCAGUAAG